Molecule: ribosomal RNA, 492 nt
Filed under: uncultured bacterium
Lineage: Bacteria
Description: partial 16S ribosomal RNA
Rfam family: Bacterial small subunit ribosomal RNA
Source: RNAcentral
AGUGAACGCUGGCGGUAGGCCUAACACAUGCAAGUCGAACGGCAGCACAGUAAGAGCUUGCUCUUACGGGUGGCGAGUGGCGGACGGGUGAGGAAUACAUCGGAAUCUACUUUUUCGUGGGUGAUAACGUAGGGAAACUUACGCUAAUACCGCAUACGACCUACGGGUGAAAGCAGGGGAUCUUCGGACCUUGCGCGAUUGAAUGAGCCGAUGUCGGAUUAGCUAGUUGGCUGGGUAAAGGCCCACCAAGGCAACGAUCCGUAGCUGGUCUGAGAGGAUGAUCAGCCACACUGGAACUGAGACACGGUCCAGACUCCUACGGGAGGCAGCAGUGGGGAAUAUUGGACAAUGGGCGCAAGCCUGAUCCAGCCAUACCGCGUGGGUGAAGAAGGCCUUCGGGUUGUAAAGCCCUUUUGUUGGGAAAGAAAAGCAGCAGGUUAAUACCCCGCUGUUCUGACGGUACCCAAAGAAUAAGCACCGGCUAACUUCGUG